Molecule: ribosomal RNA, 491 nt
Filed under: uncultured bacterium
Lineage: Bacteria
Description: partial 16S ribosomal RNA
Rfam family: Bacterial small subunit ribosomal RNA
Source: RNAcentral
AGUGAACGCUGGCGGUAGGCCUAACACAUGCAAGUCGAACGGCAGCACAGUAAGAGCUUGCUCUUACGGGUGGCGAGUGGCGGACGGGUGAGGAAUACAUCGGAAUCUACCUUUUCGUGGGGGAUAACGUAGGGAAACUUACGCUAAUACCGCAUACGACCUACGGGUGAAAGCAGGGGAUCUUCGGACCUUGCGCGAUUGAAUGAGCCGAUGUCGGAUUAGCUAGUUGGCGGGGUAAAGGCCCACCAAGGCGACGAUCCGUAGCUGGUCUGAGAGGAUGAACAGCCAACCUGGAACUGAGACCCGGGCCAGACUCCUAGGGGGGGCCGAGGUGGGGAAUAUUGGAAAAUGGGCGGAAGCCUGAACCAGCCAUACCGCGUGGGUGAAGAAGGCCUUCGGGUUGUAAAACCCUUUUGUUGGGAAAAAAAAGCAGCAGGUUAAUACCCCGGUGUUCUGACGGUACCCAAAAAAUAAGCCGCGGCUAACUUCGU